AGAGUAAGUUUAUUUCUACUAUGAUUUAUCAUAGUGAUGCUUUCCUAAUUUUUCUUCUUCAUAUUUUUUUACCCAAAACAAGCUCAGUUAGGGCUUUUUCCUUAGAGCUAAGAUUGUUUACAGUCCCAUAGCUCAGUUGGUUAGAGCGCUACACUGAUAAUGUAGAGGUCCGCAGUUCAAAUCUGCGUGGGACUACACUUGUAUUUGGGGGAUUAGCUCAGCUGGCUAGAGCGCCUGCCUUGCACGCAGGAGGUCAUCGGUUCGACUCCGAUAUUCUCCACAAAUUCACAAAUGAGUGAAUAAUGUUCAUUGACAUCUUGAAAGAAAUUAUAGAAUAAAAUUUAUUGAGUUAGUU
RNAcentral lists this transfer RNA (355 nucleotides) under uncultured Cryomorphaceae bacterium. RNAcentral describes it as "16S-23S ribosomal RNA intergenic spacer". The stretch from base 122 to 195 matches the Rfam family "tRNA". Lineage: Bacteria; Pseudomonadati; Bacteroidota; Flavobacteriia; Flavobacteriales; Cryomorphaceae. The record is from RNAcentral.